Molecule: long non-coding RNA, 611 nt
Filed under: Brassica napus (rape)
Lineage: Eukaryota; Viridiplantae; Streptophyta; Magnoliopsida; Brassicales; Brassicaceae
Description: long non-coding RNA (BNAP_LNC012403)
Source: RNAcentral
UUCCAUAACAUCAAAAAUUCAUAAAUAUAAAUAUAGUUUAAACUUGAACAGCAAUUUAAAUUCAUAGAUAUGUUUAAACUAGAACAUCACAUUAUACAUGAACAUGUGCAACUUCUUCCCUAUUCUCGACUGGUUCAGGGUUUACAACAUGACUCUGGAAACCAGCAGACUGAGAACCAGUGGGUUGGGUCCCAUAAGAAAGCCCACUUGAUGUUAUUGGUGGUCGAGUCGAGUCAUCUACAAUAGCAAAACACAAAAUGAUUAGCUCAUGUAUCGAAGGUUUGCACUUUAAAACAUCGAAAGUGCUUCUGACCUAGAAUAAGAUAUAAUUGUAUUGUAGAAUCUAUUAAAUUUAUCUAAGAGCACAGUUCUAAAGAACUUAAAAUAAUUAAAUCCAAAGAUUGUAUUGUUGUUUAAGAAAUUGGUGAAGCACACGAUUCAAAGCGAACAUUGAUAGCAAGUUUCUAAUCUUUCAACCUAUACGAGUUUGAUGAUAUAUUACAAACAAGAAACCCAUAAAUAAUAAGAAUUAAAGGUGACGGAAAACAAACCUUGGAACACCACUAGAUCCGGCAAGAGGAAAAGUUUCGAGAGGGUUUCUGUGAGAUUAC